CCUACGGGCGGCAGUAGGGAAUCUUCGGCAAUGGACGGGAGUCUGACCGAGCACCGCCGCGUGAGUGAAGAAGGUUUUCGGAUCGUAAAGCUCUGUUGUAUGAGAAGAACGAGUGUGAGAGUGGAAAGUUCACACUGUGACGGUAUCUUACCAGAAAGGGACGGCUAACUACGUGCCAGCAGCCGCGGUAAUACGUAGGUCCCGAGCGUUGCCCGGAUUUAUUGGGCGUAAAGCGAGCGCAGGCGGUUAGAUAAGUCUGAAGUUAAAGGCUGUGGCUUAACCAUAGUACGCUUUGGAAACUGUUUAACUUGAGUGCAAGAGGGGAGAGUGGAAUUCCAUGUGUAGCGGUGAAAUGCGUAGAUAUAUGGAGGAACACCGGUGGCGAAAGCGGCUCUCUGGCUUGUAACUGACGCUGAGGCUCGAAAGCGUGGGGAGCAAACAGGAUUAGAUACCCGAGUAGUC
RNAcentral lists this ribosomal RNA (462 nucleotides) under uncultured Streptococcus sp. Its description in RNAcentral is "bacterial SSU rRNA". It matches the Rfam family "Bacterial small subunit ribosomal RNA", at positions 338 to 795 of the family's 1533-position model. Lineage: Bacteria; Bacillati; Bacillota; Bacilli; Lactobacillales; Streptococcaceae. The record is from RNAcentral.